UACUUGUUUGUUUGUUUGGGGGAUUUGUUUAUUUAUUUGGUAUUUAUUUACUCAUUUCUUUUCUACUCCUCUUGCUCCCAGGACCAGUUCCCUGGAUCCCUGAUUCCCCCCAGGAGCAGCAGGAAAAGGAUCAGCAAAUCCCUGUCCAUGCAGAGUGCUGGAGCAUCCCAAAAUCCGGGAAUGGCUCUGGAAUUCUAUGGAAUUCUGCCCAGGGAAUUAAAAAAAGGGGAUGUGUUGGAUCCUGGGGAUGAGGAGAGGGAGCAGAGUUCAAACCUUGGCAAUUCCAGAGCUUUGGAAAGAGCAGGAGAUCCCAAAGUGCUGCUCAGGAUCCCGGAUGCUCCAGCACAGGCUCGUCCCUCACUCCCAGAAUCCACAGGAGCCUCCUCCAGCCCCACCUCUGCCUCUGGAGUUGUGUUUUCCUGAGCAGGACACAACAUUCCAGAGCCUGGGGUUCCCUCGCAGGGUUUGGGAUGUCCCCUCCUGUGGAGACGGGAGUGGCUGUUCCUGGAGGCAGCUCUGGAAGCUGGAAAAGCCUGGGAAUGUGGGAGCAUUCCUGCAUUUCCUCAGCUCCGUGGAAUUCGGGAUCAGCAGCUCCCAAACCUGCAAUGGGGUGGGGUCCCUCCACCCCCUGCUGUGCCUGGAGCAUUCUGCAGCAAUCCUGAAUUAUUGAGGGGAUUCCACUGCAGGCAGGGCUGGGAUGGAGCUGGGAAUUCUCUGGGAGCAGUUGGAGUCUGCAGGGAUUUGAGCAGGAGCUGGAGGAGUUUUCCAUUCCUGUCCCUGACAGCUUUCCCUGCUUGUUUUUCUCUUUGGUUUUUUGUUUUGUUGUUUUUUUUUUUUUUUUUUCCCUAGGUCUGAAUUGUGUUUUCCAUCCUCCCGAAUUUCCCUCUCCUGUUUUCCUGCUUCUCCUGCCUGGGUGGGCUCCAGCAUUCCCAGGAUUUCCAUUCCCUGAUCCCAGGGGGUCCAGGCAGCUCCUGCAGCCUCGGGAGGAGCCCCUGGGCUGGGGAAGGGACCAGAGCCGUGGAAAUCCUGACAGGAGCCACCCCCGGCCCUCAUCCUGUGGGAUUGCAUCCCUGUCCCUUGGGAAUGUGGGAAUCCUUUGGGGAUCCUUUGGGGAUCCUUUGGGAAUCCUUUGGGGAUCCUUUGGGAAUCAUUUGGGGAUCCUUUGGGGAUCCUUUGGGAAUCCUCUGGGGAUCCAUGGGGAAUCCUUUGGGAGUCCUUUGGGGAUCCUUUGGGAAUCAUUUGGGGAUCCUUUGGGAAUCCUUUGGGGAUCCUUUGGGGAUCCUUUGGGGAUCCACGUGGGAGCAGCUGAGACCCUUUCCCCUUUCCCUUUGCUCCACUUGGGGUUUGGGGUGCAGGAUUUGGGAUGAGCAGUUUGGGAUGGGGGAUUUGGGGUGCAGGAUUUGGGAUGGGGGAUUUGGGGUGCAGGAUUUUGAAUGGAGAAUUUGGGAUGGGGAGAUUUGGGGUGCAGGAUUUGGGAUAAGCAGUUUGGGAUGGGGAGAUUUGGGAUGAGCAGUUUGGGAUGCAGGAUUUGAGGUGCAGGAUUUGGUAUGGAGGAUUUGGGGUACAGGAUUUGGGAUGCAGGAUUUGGGAUCUGGGAUUUGGGGUGCAGUAUUUGGGAUGAGCAGUUUGGGGUGCAGGAUUUGGGGUACAGGAUUUGGGAUGCAGGAUUUGGGAUCUGGGAUUUGGGAUUUGGAGUGCAGGAUUUGGGAUGAGCAGUUUGGGGUGCAGGAUUUUGAGUGCAGGAUUUGGGAUGCAGGAUUUGAGGUACAGGAUUUGGGAUGAGCAGUUUGGGGUUCAGUGUUUGGGGUGCAGGAUUUGGGAUGCAGGAUUUGGGAUCUGGGAUUUGGGGUGCAGGAUUUGGGAUGGGGCAUUUGGGGUGCAGGAUUUUGAGUGCAGGAUUUGGGAUGGGGGGAUUUGGGAUGAGCAGUUUGGGGUGCAGGAUUUGAGGUGCAGGAUUUGGUAUGGAGGAUUUGGGGUACAGGAUUUGGGAUGCAGGAUUUGGGAUCUGGGAUUUGGGGUGCAGGAUUUGGGUUGCAGGAUUUGGGAUGCAGUAUUUGGGAUGAGCAGUUUGGGGUGCAGGAUUUGGGGUGCAGGAUUUGGGAUGAGCAGUUUGGGGUUCAGUAUUUGGGGUGCAGGAUUUGGGAUGGGCAGUUUGGGGUGCAGGAUUUGGGAUGAGCAGUUUGGGGUGCACUAUUUUGGCUGCAGGAUUCGGGUUUCCCCGGGCGCUGCCGGCCCCGCGGCUCCGAGCAGGAAUCUCCUCUCCAGCCGGAACAAUGGCCCGUCCUGGUCUCCUUAGAAACCGCGGCUCCGCUUCCCUCGGGCGCCGCGUCCCCGGAGCCUCCGCCCUCCCGGGGCUCUCCCGCCGCCGCGUCUCUGCAACUGCUCCCGCUUUCUCCAACUUCUCGCAAACCUCAGGGAAUCGUUUUAACUCCCCACAUUCCUCCCUCCCUCCCCUCCCCGACCCAAACGUCGCUCCCGGUGUUUCCUGGAAACGCGAAAUUUCCCGCAGCUUUCUCAAACUUUCGGGGCUCCUUGAGGAAAAGAUUGUGGAUUUUGGAGGAUUUUUGGGAAGCUGGAUGUGGGAGCUCAUCCUGAAACUCGGCCAGCAGCCAGCAAAGCUCUCCCAGAGCUCUGGAGAACGGAUUUAUUUGGGGAAUAAAUAAAUUUUGGGAAGUACAAACCCU
Molecule: long non-coding RNA, 2684 nt
Organism: Oenanthe melanoleuca
Lineage: Eukaryota; Metazoa; Chordata; Aves; Passeriformes; Muscicapidae
Exons: 4
Source: RefSeq, a predicted model, not a curated record